GACGAACGCUGGCGGCGUGCCUAAUACAUGCAAGUAGAACGCUGAAGAGAGGAGCUUGCUCUUCUUGGAUGAGUUGCGAACGGGUGAGUAACGCGUAGGUAACCUGCCUGGUAGCGGGGGAUAACUAUUGGAAACGAUAGCUAAUACCGCAUAAAAUUGAUUAUUGCAUGAUAGUCAAUUGAAAGGUGCAACUGCACCACUACCAGAUGGACCUGCGUUGUAUUAGCUAGUUGGUGGGGUAACGGCUCACCAAGGCGACGAUACAUAGCCGACCUGAGAGGGUGAUCGGCCACACUGGGACUGAGACACGGCCCAGACUCCUACGGGAGGCAGCAGUAGGGAAUCUUCGGCAAUGGACGGAAGUCUGACCGAGCAACGCCGCGUGAGUGAAGAAGGUUUUCGGAUCGUAAAGCUCUGUUGUAAGAGAAGAACGAGUGUGAGAGUGGAAAGUUCACACUGUGACGUAUCUACCAGAAAGGC
RNAcentral lists this ribosomal RNA (480 nucleotides) under Streptococcus sp. oral taxon 071. RNAcentral describes it as "bacterial SSU rRNA". It matches the Rfam family "Bacterial small subunit ribosomal RNA", at positions 28 to 492 of the family's 1533-position model. Lineage: Bacteria; Bacillati; Bacillota; Bacilli; Lactobacillales; Streptococcaceae. The record is from RNAcentral.